AGAGUUUGAUCCUGGCUCAGGACGAACGCUGGCGGCGUGCCUAAUACAUGCAAGUCGAGCGAAUCAAUGGGAGCUUGCUCCCAUUGAUUAGCGGCGGACGGGUGAGUAACACGUGGGUAACCUGCCUGUAAGACUGGGAUAACUUCGGGAAACCGGAGCUAAUACCGGAUAGUUUCUUCUCUCGCAUGAGAGAAGAUGGAAAGAUGGUUUCGGCUAUCACUUACAGAUGGACCCGCGGCGCAUUAGCUAGUUGGUGAGGUAAUGGCUCACCAAGGCAACGAUGCGUAGCCGACCUGAGAGGGUGAUCGGCCACACUGGGACUGAGACACGGCCCAGACUCCUACGGGAGGCAGCAGUAGGGAAUCUUCCGCAAUGGACGAAAGUCUGACGGAGCAACGCCGCGUGAACGAAGAAGGCCUUCGGGUCGUAAAGUUCUGUUGUUAGGGAAGAACAAGUACGAGAGUAACUGCUCGUACCUUGACGGUACCUAACCAGAAAGCCACGGCUAACUACGUGCCAGCAGCCGCGGUA
RNAcentral lists this ribosomal RNA (531 nucleotides) under uncultured Bacillota bacterium. RNAcentral describes it as "bacterial SSU rRNA". It matches the Rfam family "Bacterial small subunit ribosomal RNA", at positions 8 to 522 of the family's 1533-position model. The record is from RNAcentral. Lineage: Bacteria; Bacillati; Bacillota.